GGGAGGCAGCAGUGGGGAAUAUUGCACAAUGGGCGCAAGCAUGAUGCAGCGACGCCGCGUGAGGGAUGACGGCCUUCGGGUUGUAAACCUCUUUCACCAGGGACGAAGCGCAAGUGACGGUACCUGGAGAAGAAGCACCGGCCAACUACGUGCCAGCAGCCGCGGUAAUACGUAGGGUGCGAGCGUUGUCCGGAAUUACUGGGCGUAAAGAGCUCGUAGGUGGUUUGUCGCGUUGUUCGUGAAAACUCACAGCUUAACUGUGGGCGUGCGGGCGAUACGGGCAGACUAGAGUACUGCAGGGGAGACUGGAAUUCCUGGUGUAGCGGUGGAAUGCGCAGAUAUCAGGAGGAACACCGGUGGCGAAGGCGGGUCUCUGGGCAGUAACUGACGCUGAGGAGCGAAAGCGUGGGGAGCGAACAGGAUUAGAUACCCUGGUAGUCCACGCCGUAAACGGUGGGUACUAGGUGUGGGUUCCUUCCUUGGGAUCCGUGCCGUAGCUAACGCACUAAGUACCCCGCCUGGGGAGUACGGCCGCAAGGCUAAAACUCAAAGGAAUAGACGGGGGCCCGCACAAGCGGCGGAGCAUGUGGAUUAAUUCGAUGCAACGCGAAGAACCUUACCUGGGUUUGACAUGCACAGGACGCUGGUAGAGAUAUCAGUUCCCUUGUGGCCUGUGUGCAGGUGGUGCAUGGCUGUCGUCAGCUCGUGUCGUGAGAUGUUGGGUUAAGUCCCGCAACGAGCGCAACCCCUAUCUUAUGUUGCCAGCGCGUUAUGGCGGGGACUCGUAAGAGACUGCCGGGGUCAACUCGGAGGAAGGUGGGGAGGACGUCAAGUCAUCAUGCCCCUUAUGUCCAGGGCUUCACACAUGCUACAAUGGCCGGUACAAAGGGCUGCGAAUCCGCGAGGUGGAGCGAAUCCCUUGAAAGCCGGUCUCAGUUCGGAUCGGGGUGUGCAACUCGACCCCGCGAAGUUGGAGUCGCUAGUAAUCGCAGAUCAGCAACGCUGCGGUGAAUAAGUUCCCGGGCCUUGCACUCACCGCCCG
RNAcentral lists this ribosomal RNA (1042 nucleotides) under uncultured bacterium. Its description in RNAcentral is "bacterial SSU rRNA". It matches the Rfam family "Bacterial small subunit ribosomal RNA", at positions 343 to 1396 of the family's 1533-position model. The record is from RNAcentral.